UAAACUUGAACUGCAAGUUUUAUUCUUGAAGUGGUAAUAAAAUUGUUUAGCGUACAGCAUUUUUAAAAGCACUAUAAUACUCCUUCCUGCUCCACAGGAGGAUUACAUGGUAUAAAUUAAUCAGAGACUGGUCCCUGUUAUUUUUUGUUCCCUGAUUACUCUAAUUUUGCAACCCAAAGGAAAAAAACAAACACUGAAACACAUUUUCUAAAGAAAGCUGUAAUUGAUUUCUGGGUGAGCUAGAGGAUAGUUUGGCAAAUGCUUUCUAAUCAUGAAAACAGGUUCGUUUCAUUGACUAAUACUUUACAUUAUAUAAUGCACGCACCCAAUAGAGCUGCCUGUGGUGUUUCCUACCUUAUCACCUUUUUCUCCAGCUGGCCCAGGCUGCCCAUUCUCACCUCUCUGUCCUUUUUCCCCUGGCAGACCAGCUGGUCCUAUAGAUCCCAAGGAUCCAAUUGGUCCUUGAGCUCCCAGCUCACCAGGUUGACCCUGAAAAGAGUCCAAAGAGCAGGUCUCCAGCAGUCAAGCUGACUAUAAUAAAUUCCAAGUCCUCCUGCUCUAUCAAUCUGAAGGUCCUACUAGAAGAGCAGAGGACUACCUGGAAAAGAAUCCUUGUUCAACUCAUUUUCCAUUUGCCUGUACUGGCACCCUCACUUAAACCUUAUUGUUGCUUCCAAUGAAGUCACUAGCAAAAUUUUCAGGGAAAAAUCAGCAUUCUGUCUUCAGCAACAAUUAUAGUUUUCUUGAUAGUAUAAUUUAAAGUGUAAAAAACUACAGAAAUUCAUGGCUACUAGUAGGAAAAUGUGCUGAUUCUGCAUCCUUUUUAACACUGAAUGGAUAGUUAGAAUUCCGGGUGUUAUUUGAGUAUUUGCUGGUAUGAACAAUUGCAGCUUAUCUACUGGCAGAGCUUUGUACCUCCUCUGUUGAAAAAAUGAUUUUAUUAAUUGAUGGACUUUUAAAGAAGCUAUUACAGACUCUAAUAGCUUGAUUUAAAAAAGACUGGACAACCAUUUUGAUUAAAGAUUCAUUUUGAAUAUUAGAAAAGUGAAACAAAUUAGGCUAAUAAAAUAAUAAAAUGCAAAUAUUUGAACUACCCA
This 1097-nucleotide long non-coding RNA is filed under the name Chrysolophus pictus (golden pheasant). Its description in RNAcentral is "lncRNA (ENSCPIG00010010257.1)". The record is from RNAcentral. Lineage: Eukaryota; Metazoa; Chordata; Aves; Galliformes; Phasianidae.